This 253-nucleotide ribosomal RNA is filed under the name uncultured bacterium. RNAcentral describes it as "partial 16S ribosomal RNA". It matches the Rfam family "Bacterial small subunit ribosomal RNA", at positions 524 to 776 of the family's 1533-position model. The record is from RNAcentral.
UACGGAGGGGGCUAGCGUUGUUCGGAAUUACUGGGCGUAAAGCGCACGUAGGCGGCUUUGUAAGUUAGAGGUGAAAGCCCAGGGCUUAACCCUGGAAUUGCCUUUAAGACUGCAUCGCUAGAAUCGUGGAGAGGUGAGUGGAAUUCCGAGUGUAGAGGUGAAAUUCGUAGAUAUUCGGAAGAACACCAGUGGCGAAGGCGUCUCACUGGACACGUAUUGACGCUGAGGUGCGAAAGCGUGGGGAGCAAACAGG